Long non-coding RNA from Meriones unguiculatus (Mongolian gerbil), 391 nucleotides. RefSeq lists it as uncharacterized. The transcript has 3 exons. NCBI's taxonomy places the organism in Eukaryota, Metazoa, Chordata, Mammalia, Rodentia, Muridae. The record is from RefSeq and is a predicted model, not a curated record.
GGGAACCCUGGGAAAGUGUGAUCAGAGAGUCUUCAAAAGCCCAGUCAUGAAGAGCCGUAGAUUUGCCUAGAAUUGUGGAGGCAGACGCUGUCCAACAAAGUCAUGUGGAUCACUUGUCCCACAAAGACACACAGGGCUCUUACUUCAUCACCAAACUCAUUACCUGCUUCCAGACAUGUUCCUGUUCUUGUCAUCUCUUGGAUAUAUUUCAGAAGAAGCAAGAAACAAUAGAAGAUUAUCAGCUUAAAGAAGUGAUUUUGGCCAAGGAUCAUGUUGUGUACCUACUGUUCAGAAACAGGGAAGCCGAGAAAAGAAUAAUUGGGAAUUCAAGGCCAGCCUGAGUAAACACUCUUCGCCAAAAGAGAACAUGCAUUGAAUUGUGCACGUAAAA